RNAcentral lists this transfer RNA (69 nucleotides) under Urocitellus parryii (Arctic ground squirrel). RNAcentral describes it as "Spermophilus parryii (Arctic ground squirrel) tRNA". It matches the Rfam family "tRNA". Rfam says of the family: Transfer RNA (tRNA) molecules are approximately 80 nucleotides in length. The record is from Rfam by way of RNAcentral. RNAcentral also lists the same sequence under 2 other names. Lineage: Eukaryota; Metazoa; Chordata; Mammalia; Rodentia; Sciuridae.
GGGAUUGUGGCUCAGCGGUAGAGCACUCGCCUUGCAUGUGUGUGGUCCUGGGUUCAAUCCUUAGCACCA